AUCCAGCUUAUGGGUCCUAAAUAGGGCGAAAUGCGCAUCCUGGAU
Schistosoma rodhaini is the source of this 45-nucleotide non-coding RNA. Lineage: Eukaryota; Metazoa; Platyhelminthes; Trematoda; Strigeidida; Schistosomatidae. The record is from Rfam.